UAUAAUGUAGUAUAAUAAAUAUGGAAUAAGUUGGAAAUAAUUUUCCUUGGGCAAUUUGAAGACAUCAGUCAAUUGUCCUCUAGCUUCCAGUGUUGCUGUUGAGAAGUCAUAAAAAUUCCCAAUCUUUUGUUUGUGACUGAUUUUUUUCUGGAAGCUCUUCCCUUUGAUCCUAGAGUUCUAACAUUUCUUGAUGACAUGACUUGUGCUGGCCUCUGUUGCCCAUUUUUCUGGCCCACUUUGUGGGCUUUGUUAGAUUAAUUAAACAAGGAGGCCAUCAGGCUGAGGCUCUAAAGCUUUCCUGGUCUAGUAAGCAAAUCAAUACCUAAGCUGUCAAUGCCUCAAGGUUAAGAAAGCGAAAUCCAAGGACAACCAAUCACAAUCAGCCAAUGAGGCUUUAAGCUCCAGCCAAUCAAAUGAUUUCCUUUAUUAGCUUCUGCACCUUCUCUAAGUGUCUCUCCCCUGGCUCCUUUCCGUGGAACCCUCCUAACCACUUCCAGUUUGGCACUGCCUGAUUCGAAUUGAGUUUUGCUCAAAUAAACUCAUAAAAUUUGUAAGAUGUCUCAGUUUAUCUUUUUAACAGUUUUUACUCUGAAAACCCAUAUGUGUUAAUUCUAAGACAUUUUCUUGAAUUUAUUUGUUUAGUGGUUUUUUCCACUUUGUCCUUCCAACAUUACCCAGAUAUUGGACAUACUGGACUGUUUCUCUAAUUUUUCCAACUUAUCACUCCUAUUUUCCUUCUCUUUGAAUAUUUGCUCUACUCUCUGGGAGAUUUGUACAGCCGUAUCUUCCAAACAUUCUAAGUUUCCUCUAAGAAACCUCCAGUAAUCUCCCAGGCUGGGAGAUAUCCUAAAUUUGAAUCUUCAAAAUCUUUAUUUAGAAUAAUGAGAAUAUUUUGACUGAUAAGAAUUGGAACUUACUAUCAAUUUUGUCAACAACGUGUUGGGAUUUAGACCAGAAGGAAGAGAAAACCAUUGCAUUGUUCAUUUGGCCCUCAAGGCAGGACAUCAGGUCCCAUAACUAGAACAGAAAGCAAAGUAAAAGACAAACAUGAACCAAACAAACAAACAAAGGUCAAAAGAAGAAAGAGGUCAAUAUUGUCAUCAGACAAAGUUCAAGGCAAAAUAGACCUCUAAGCAAAAUAAAAACAUUAUUUUACAUAGAUAAAAGGUUACAUCCUAAAAUGAAGGUGUAUAGUGUCAACCAUUAAUUUAAAAGCAUUUACAUUACAUUUUCACUAUUAAGUAAUGUUAAAAAAUGAUUAAAGAAGACAAUUUAGGUGAUACAUAGAAACUUUAUUUAACACUUCAUCAGGUGGACAGUCUCCUUUCAGAGAAUUACAAGGUGGGGCAGAAAGCAGGCAGCUUUUAUAGGAUAAAGAACAAGACAGAGAAAAAGAGAAAACAUCUGAUUGGCUGGGGCCACGUGGUCACCUUGUUGGGGGUGAGAAGGCCCAGAGUUGGCCUGGCAUUUGGAGCCUGGCUGAUUGGCUAUACUGUGUCUCUGGUCAAGCGGGGCAUUCACGGGGACAUGAAGUGAUCUGAGUUUCCGUUUACUGAUGGAGCACCCGGGGCAGGAGCUGCUCCAUCUUGGGCCUAGAAAUUAAUUUCAACAGUAAUUACUUCAUUAUUAAGUUAUUACAUGCAGAUGCGAGCUCUGGCAUUGCUGCACCCAUCUUGUCACACCUGAAGAUGAAACCUACACAAAGAAAAGGGUAGAACCAAGAGAACAGAAGAGAAAUAAAACUACAACAAUCAGAUUGUCUCGUUUGGAACCUUUCCCAUCUGUGGAUUUCCAGUCACGUGAGUCUAUCUGGGCCUGAUAUCCAAGACGGCUCACUCACAUGGCUGAGAAUCCAUGCUGGGUGUCAGCUGGGAGCUCGGCUAGGGCUGUUGACUGGAAUGGAUACAUGUGGCCUCUCCAGCACGACUGUCUCAGGGUGGUUGAACUUUUUACGUGGUGCCUGGCUUAUUAGAGAGCAGGGUCCCAAGAAAAGCAUGGGGAAGUGGCAUGGUCUUUUCUGAGCUAGCUUCAGCAGUCACUCUUCUCAGAUUCUAUUGAUUAUUAAUGAGGCGUAAGGCCAGCCCAAAUUGAAGGGGGAGGACAUUUAGACUCAUCUGUGGCAAAGUCAUACUGUGGAAGAGCAUAUGGGAUGGGAGAUAUGUUGUCACCCUAUGGAGAAUAAAUUUUGCCACAACUCAUUUAUUUAAUUUUUAAAAAUUACUUUUUACUGUACUGUCUCACAUGUGGAAUCUAAAAAAAUCCAAACUCAUGUAAAAAGAGAUCAGACAUGUGAUUACCAGAGGUGGAAGAGGGUUGAGAGGGGGAAUUGGAGGGAGGUGGUCAAAAGGCACACAUUUUCAGUUAUAAGAUAAACAAGUACUAGUGAUGGAACGUACAACAUGAUGACUAUAGUUAACACCGUUUUCUGAUACACAGGAAAUUUAUUAAGAGAGUAGAUCCUAAAAGUUCUCAUCACAAGGAGAAAAAUUUUUUUCUUUUCUUCUUUCUUUUCUUUCUAUUGUAUCUAUAGGAGACAAUGGAUAUUAGCGGAACCUACUGCGAUAAUCAUUUCCCAAUAUAUGUAAAUCAAGUCAGCAUGCUGUAUACCUUAAACUUGCACAGUGAUGUCUAUCAAUCAUUUCUCAGUAAAACUGGAAAAAUAUUUUUAAUCACUCUGCAGUGCCAGG
Equus asinus (donkey) is the source of this 2687-nucleotide long non-coding RNA. Lineage: Eukaryota; Metazoa; Chordata; Mammalia; Perissodactyla; Equidae. The record is from Ensembl.